UGUUGGUGGGGUAAUGGCCCUACCUCAAGGCGACGACGGGGUAGCCCGGCCUGAGAGGGCGACCGGCCACACUGGGACUGAGACACGGCCCAGACUCCUACGGGAGGCAGCAGUGGGGAAUAUUGCACAAUGGGCGAAAGCCUGAUGCAGCGACGCCGCGUGAGGGAUGACGGCCUUCGGGUUGUAAACCUCUUUCAGCAGGGAAGAAGCGAAAGUGACGGUACCUGCAGAAGAAGCGCCGGCUAACUACGUGCCAGCAGCCGCGGUAAUACGUAGGGCGCAAGCGUUGUCCGGAAUUAUUGGGCGUAAAGAGCUCGUAGGCGGCUUGUUGCGUCGGUUGUGAAAGCCCGGGGCUUAACCCCGGGUCUGCAGUCGAUACGGGCAGGCUAGAGUGUGGUAGGGGAGAUCGGAAUUCCUGGUGUAGCGGUGAAAUGCGCAGAUAUCAGGAGGAACACCGGUGGCGAAGGCGGAUCUCUGGGCCAUUACUGACGCUGAGGAGCGAAAGCGUGGGGAGCGAACAGGAUUAGAUACCCUGGUAGUCCACGCCGUAAACGUUGGGAACUAGGUGUUGGCGACAUGCCACGUCGUCGGUGCCNGCAGCAAACGCGAAUAAGUACCCCG
This 621-nucleotide ribosomal RNA is filed under the name Streptomyces sp. RNAcentral's name for it is "bacterial SSU rRNA". It matches the Rfam family "Bacterial small subunit ribosomal RNA", at positions 247 to 871 of the family's 1533-position model. Lineage: Bacteria; Bacillati; Actinomycetota; Actinomycetes; Kitasatosporales; Streptomycetaceae. The record is from RNAcentral.